This 414-nucleotide ribosomal RNA is filed under the name Madeconeuria sp. Ep5727a. RNAcentral describes it as "Elassoneuria (Madeconeuria) sp. Ep5727a partial 16S ribosomal RNA". It matches the Rfam family "Bacterial large subunit ribosomal RNA", at positions 1956 to 2601 of the family's 2925-position model. Lineage: Eukaryota; Metazoa; Arthropoda; Insecta; Ephemeroptera; Oligoneuriidae. The record is from RNAcentral.
GCAUAAUAAUUAGCCUCUUAAUUAGAGGCUAGAAUGAAUGGCGUCACGAAGGAAAUUCUGUCUCUAUUACACAAGUUGAAUUUAAUUUUUAAGUCAAAAAGCUUAAAUAAAUUUGAAGGACGAGAAGACCCUAUAGAUCUUUAUAAACAAUUAAUAAAUAAUAUAUUUAUUAUUUGUUUAUUUUAUUGGGGCGAUAUGAAGAUAAAAUUAACUCUUUAAUUAAAAUUUCAUGAAUGUUUGAUUUAUUGAUCCUUAGUUUAAGAUUAUAAGUUUAAGUUACCUUAGGGAUAACAGCGUUAUUUUUCUAAAGAGUUCUAAUCGAAAGAAAAGCUUGCGACCUCGAUGUUGGACUAAGGGAUAUUUUAGGUGUAGCAGCUUAAAUAUUUGGUCUGUUCGACCAUUAAAACCUUACAU